UCAAGUAAUUAAGUGCAUGUGGUGGAUGCCUUGGCAGUCAGAGGCGAUGAAAGACGUGAUAGCCUGCGAAAAGCUCCGGGGAGGCGGCAAAUAUCCUUUGAUCCGGAGAUGUCUGAAUGGGGGAACCCACCUACUUUAAGGUAGGUAUUGCAACAUGAAUACAUAGUGUUGCAAGGCGAACGAGGGGAAGUGAAACAUCUCAGUACCCUUAGGAAAAGAAAUCAAUUGAGAUUCCCUCAGUAGCGGCGAGCGAACGGGGAUCAGCCCAUUAAGUUAUGUGUGUUUUAGUGGAACGCUCUGGGAAGUGCGAACGUAGAGGGUGAUAUUCCCGUACACGAAAGGGCACACAUAAUGAUGACGAGUAGGGCGAGGCACGUGAAACCUUGUCUGAAUAUGGGGGGACCAUCCUCCAAGGCUAAAUACUCCUGACUGACCGAUAGUGAACCAGUACCGUGAGGGAAAGGCGAAAAGAACCCCUGUGAGGGGAGUGAAAUAGAUCCUGAAACCGCAUGCAUACAAGCAGUGGGAGCACCUUCGUGGUGUGACUGCGUACCUUUUGUAUAAUGGGUCAGCGACUUAUAUUCAGUAGCGAGGUUAACCGUAUAGGGGAGCCGUAGAGAAAUCGAGUCUUAAUAGGGCGUUUAGUUGCUGGGUAUAGACCCGAAACCAGGCGAUCUAUCCAUGAGCAGGUUGAAGGUUGGGUAACACUAACUGGAGGACCGAACCCACUGUCGUUGAAAAGCCAGGGGAUGACUUGUGGAUAGGGGUGAAAGGCUAAUCAAGCCUGGUGAUAGCUGGUUCUCCCCGAAAGCUAUUUAGGUAGCGCCUCGGACGAAUACCAUAGGGGGUAGAGCACUGUUUCGGCUAGGGGGUCAUCCCGACUUACCAAACCGAUGCAAACUCCGAAUACCUAUGAGUACUAUCCGGGAGACAGACUGCGGGUGCUAACGUCCGUAGUCAAGAGGAAAACAAUCCAGACCGCCAGCUAAGGCCCCAAAAUCAUAGUUAAGUGGGAAACGAUGUGGGAAGGCAUAGACAGCUAGGAGGUUGGCUUAGAAGCAGCCACCCUUUAAAGAAAGCGUAAUAGCUCACUAGUCGAGUCGGCCUGCGCGGAAGAUGUAACGGGGCUAAAACUAUGUGCCGAAGCUGCGGAUGUAUACUUUGUAUACGUGGUAGGGGAGCGUUCUGUAAGCCGAUGAAGGUGUGUUGAGAAGCAUGCUGGAGGUAUCAGAAGUGCGAAUGCUGACGUGAGUAACGACAAAACGGGUGAAAAACCCGUUCGCCGAAAGACCAAGGGUUCCAGUCCAACGUUAAUCGGGGCUGGGUGAGUCGACCCCUAAGGCGAGGCCGAAAGGCGUAGUCGAUGGGAAAAUGGUUAAUAUUCCAUUACUUCUGUGUAAUGCGAUGAGAGGACGGAGAAGGCUAAAUCAGCCUGGCGUUGGUUGUCCAGGUGAAAGGAAGUAGGCAUGUAUCUUAGGCAAAUCCGGGGUACUCUAUGCUGAGAUCUGAUAGCAAGCUGUACUUGUACAGCGAAGUGGUUGAUGCCAUGCUUCCAGGAAAAGUCUCUAAGCUUCAGUUACACAGGAAUCGUACCCGAAACCGACACAGGUGGUCAGGUCGAGUAGACCAAGGCGCUUGAGAGAACUCUGCUGAAGGAACUAGGCAAAAUGGUACCGUAACUUCGGGAGAAGGUACGCUGUUGUUGGUGAUGGAACUCGCUUCCUGAGCUGACGACAGCCGCAGAAACCAGGCCGCUGCAACUGUUUAUUAAAAACAUAGCACUCUGCAAACACGAAAGUGGACGUAUAGGGUGUGAUGCCUGCCCGGUGCUGGAAGGUUAAUUGAUGGGGUUAGCGUAAGCGAAGCUCUUGAUCGAAGCCCCAGUAAACGGCGGCCGUAACUAUAACGGUCCUAAGGUAGCGAAAUUCCUUGUCGGGUAAGUUCCGACCUGCACGAAUGGCAUAAUGAUGGCGGCGCUGUCUCCAGCAGAGGCUCAGUGAAAUCGAAAUCGCUGUGAAGAUGCAGUGUACCCGCGGCUAGACGGAAAGACCCCGUGAACCUUUACUGCAGCUUGACACUGAACUUUGACCUUACUUGUGUAGGAUAGGUGGGAGGCUUUGAAGCUGGAACGCUAGUUCCAGUGGAGCCGUCCUUGAAAUACCACCCUGGUAAUGUUGAGGUUCUAACUCUGUCCCGUGAUCCGGGACGAGGACCGUGUCUGGUGGGUAGUUUGACUGGGGCGGUCUCCUCCUAAAGAGUAACGGAGGAGUACGAAGGUGCGCUCAGCGUGGUCGGAAAUCACGCGUAGAGUAUAAAGGCAAAAGCGCGCUUAACUGCGAGACCCACAAGUCGAGCAGGUACGAAAGUAGGUCUUAGUGAUCCGGUGGUUCUGUAUGGAAGGGCCAUCGCUCAACGGAUAAAAGGUACUCUGGGGAUAACAGGCUGAUACCGCCCAAGAGUUCAUAUCGACGGCGGUGUUUGGCACCUCGAUGUCGGCUCAUCUCAUCCUGGGGCUGAAGCAGGUCCCAAGGGUAUGGCUGUUCGCCAUUUAAAGAGGUACGCGAGCUGGGUUUAGAACGUCGUGAGACAGUUCGGUCCCUAUCUACCGUGGGCGCUGGAAAUUUGAGAGGAUCUGCUCCUAGUACGAGAGGACCAGAGUGGACGAACCUCUGGUGUACCGGUUGUGACGCCAGUCGCAUCGCCGGGUAGCUAUGUUCGGAAGGGAUAACCGCUGAAAGCAUCUAAGCGGGAAGCCUACCUCAAGAUAAGAUUUCCCUAGGACUUUAUGUCCUCUAAAGAGCCGUUCGAGACUAGGACGUUGAUAGGUUGGAUGUGGAAGCAUAGUGAUAUGUGAAGCUGACCAAUACUAAUUGCUCGUGAGGCUUGACUA
This 2890-nucleotide ribosomal RNA is filed under the name Acinetobacter baumannii. RNAcentral's name for it is "bacterial LSU rRNA". It matches the Rfam family "Bacterial large subunit ribosomal RNA". The record is from RNAcentral. Lineage: Bacteria; Pseudomonadati; Pseudomonadota; Gammaproteobacteria; Moraxellales; Moraxellaceae.